GUGGGGAAUAUUGGUCAAUGGUCGGAGGACUGAACCAGCCAAGUAGCGUGAGGGAAGGCGGCCCUACGGGUUGUAAACCUCUUUUGUUCGGGAAUAACAGGGUCCACUUGUGGUCCUCUGCAUGUACCGUUCGAAUAAGCAUCGGCUAAUUCCGUGCCAGCAGCCGCGGUAAUACGGAAGAUGCGAGCGUUAUCCGGAAUCAUUGGGUUUAAAGGGAGCGUAGGCGGCCUUUUGAGUCAGCGGUUAAAUGUCAGCGCCCAACGUUGGCGUGCCGUUGAUACUGGAGGGCUUGAGUUCACACAAGGAAGGUGGAAUUCGUCGUGUAGCGGUGAAAUGCUUAGAUAUGACGAGGAACCCCGAUUGCGAAGGCAUCCUUCUGGGGUGUUACUGACGCUGAGGCUCGAAAGCGCGGGUAUCAAACAGG
This 424-nucleotide ribosomal RNA is filed under the name uncultured rumen bacterium. Its description in RNAcentral is "bacterial SSU rRNA". It matches the Rfam family "Bacterial small subunit ribosomal RNA", at positions 354 to 776 of the family's 1533-position model. The record is from RNAcentral.